RNAcentral lists this ribosomal RNA (116 nucleotides) under Escherichia coli. The record is from RNAcentral. Lineage: Bacteria; Pseudomonadati; Pseudomonadota; Gammaproteobacteria; Enterobacterales; Enterobacteriaceae. RNAcentral also lists the same sequence under 123 other names.
CCUGGCGGCCGUAGCGCGGUGGUCCCACCUGACCCCAUGCCGAACUCAGAAGUGAAACGCCGUAGCGCCGAUGGUAGUGUGGGGUUUCCCCAUGCGAGAGUAGGGAACUGCCAGGC